Molecule: ribosomal RNA, 424 nt
Filed under: uncultured bacterium
Lineage: Bacteria
Description: partial 16S ribosomal RNA
Rfam family: Bacterial small subunit ribosomal RNA
Source: RNAcentral
GAAUAUUGGACAAUGGGGGGAACCCUGAUCCAGCCAUGCCGCGUGUGUGAAGAAGGCCUUUUGGUUGUAAAGCACUUUAAGCGAGGAGGAGGAGCUCUUGGUUAAUACCCAAGAUGCUUGGACGUUCCUCGACGAAUAAGCACCGGCUAACCCUGUGCCAGCAGCCGCGGUAAUACAGAGGGUGCAAGCGUUAAUCGGAUUUACUGGGCGUAAAGCGCACUUCAAUUGCCAAUUAAGGACAAUGUCAAAUCCCCGAGCGUCACUUAGUACUUGCAUUCGAUACUUUUUGGCUAUACUAUGGGAGAUGAUGCUACCAUUCCCUUUUUAUCUCUGACAUUCGUAGAUCUCUGGAGGCCUACCUCUGUCGAAGUCAUCCCUCUGGCCUACUACUGACACUGAGGUGCUAAAGCAUGGGGAGCAAACA